UACGAAGGGGGGCUAGCGUUGCUCGGAAUCACUGGGCGUAAAGCGCACGUAGGCGGAUUGCUAAGUCAGGGGUGAAAUCCUGGAGCUCAACUCCAGAACUGCCUUUGAUACUGGCGAUCUUGAGUCCGGAAGAGGUGAGUGGAACUCCGAGUGUAGAGGUGAAAUUCGUAGAUAUUCGGAAGAACACCAGUGGCGAAGGCGGCUCACUGGUCCGGUACUGACGCUGAGGUGCGAAAGCGUGGGGAGCAAACAGG
RNAcentral lists this ribosomal RNA (254 nucleotides) under uncultured bacterium. Its description in RNAcentral is "partial 16S ribosomal RNA". It matches the Rfam family "Bacterial small subunit ribosomal RNA", at positions 524 to 776 of the family's 1533-position model. The record is from RNAcentral.